Molecule: ribosomal RNA, 484 nt
Filed under: uncultured bacterium
Lineage: Bacteria
Description: partial 16S ribosomal RNA
Rfam family: Bacterial small subunit ribosomal RNA
Source: RNAcentral
AUUGAACGCUGGCGGCAGGCCUAACACAUGCAAGUCGAGCGGAUGAAGGGAGCUUGCUCCUGGAUUCAGCGGCGGACGGGUGAGUAAUGCCUAGGAAUCUGCCUGGUAGUGGGGGAUAACGUCCGGAAACGGGCGCUAAUACCGCAUACGUCCUGAGGGAGAAAGUGGGGGAUCUUCGGACCUCACGCUAUCAGAUGAGCCUAGGUCGGAUUAGCUAGUUGGUGGGGUAAAGGCCUACCAAGGCGACGAUCCGUAACUGGUCUGAGAGGAUGAUCAGUCACACUGGAACUGAGACACGGUCCACACUCCUACGGGAGGCAGCAGUGGGGAAUAUUGGACAAUGGGCGAAAGCCUGAUCCAGCCGUGCCGCGUGUGUGAAGAAGGUCUUCGGAUUGUAAAGCACUUUAAGUUGGGAGGAAGGGCAGUAAGUUAAUACCUUGCUGUUUUGACGUUACCAACAGAAUAAGCACCGGCUAACUUCGUG